Molecule: ribosomal RNA, 1272 nt
Filed under: Triticum aestivum (bread wheat)
Lineage: Eukaryota; Viridiplantae; Streptophyta; Magnoliopsida; Poales; Poaceae
Description: partial small subunit ribosomal RNA
Source: RNAcentral
AUGGCAGGGCCGAGCAUGCCGCAGCCUCUGCUUGUUGCUCUCCUCCUCCUGGGGUUCUUGCUGCUCAUCCAUGUCCCUUAUGCUGCGCCUCAGUCCUUCAUCGGCAUCAACUACGGCGACAUCGCCGACAACCUGCCGCCGCCGGCGUCGACGGCGCGGCUCCUCAAGUCCACCACCAUCGGCAAGGUGCGCCUCUACAGGACCGACCCGGCCGUGGUGGCCGCCUUCGCCGGCACGAGCAUCUCCCUGCUCCUCGGCGCCGCCAACGCCGACAUCCCCUCCUUCGCCUCCUCGCCGUCCGCCGCCGCCGCCUGGGUCGCCGCGCACCUCCCGUCCUCCUCGUCGCCCGCCGUCAACGGCAUCUCCGUCGGCAACGAGGUGCUCUACUCGGGCGACGCCGCGCUCAUCUCGCAGCUGGUCCCGGCGCUGCAGAACAUCUACGACGCGCUGCCGGCCAACUCCGGCAUCAAGGUGUCCACCGUGAACGCCAUGGACGUGCUGGCGUCGUCUGACCCGCCGUCGUCGGGGGCCUUCAAGCCGGAGCUGUCCGCCGCGCUGGACCCGCUGCUGGCCUUCCUCAGCAAGACCGGCUCGCCGUUCCUGGUGAACCCGUACCCCUACUUCGCGUACCAGGACGACCCGCGGCCGGACACGCUGGCCUUCUGCCUCUUCCAGCCCAACGCCGGGCGGCCGGACGCCGGGUCCGGGCUCACCUACACCAGCAUGUUCGACGCGCAGGUGGACGCCGUGCGCGCCGCGCUGGACGCCAAGGGGUACAAGGACGUGGAGGUGGUGGUGGCCGAGACCGGGUGGCCGCACAGCGGCGGCGCCGACGAGGCCGGCGCCUCCGUGGAGAACGCGCGCGCCUUCGUGUCCAAUCUCGUCUCCCACCUCCGGUCCAUGGUCGGCACGCCGCGGAUGCCCGGCAAGUCCGUCGACACCUACCUCUUCGCCGUGUACGACGAGGACCUCAAGCCAGGGAAGGCGUCGGAGAAGUCCUUUGGGCUGUUCCAGACCACGCUCACCGAGACGUACCCGACGGGGCUGAUGAGGAACGGCACCGCGGGCCUGGCGCCGGCUCCGGCGCCGACCGUGCGGCCGGCGAGCCCCCCGCCGGCGAUACCGCAGGUGACGCCGGUGCAGCCACAGCCAAGCGCGGCGUCAGCGGCGACGGCGCCGCCUCGUCAUGUUCGUAGUGCUGCAGAAUUGCCUCGCACCAUCUCCGCGCUCCAUGUGUCUGCUUGUUUCUUGUUCAUGUCUCUGCUAGUCUGA